UUGAGCUCCUGGCCUUGAGAACUGGUUUCCAAGGGUUGUGGACCUAGCUCAGCCCCUGGGAUCCAGUUCUUAAUUCUGGAUGCUGCCA
This 88-nucleotide microRNA precursor is filed under the name Scleropages formosus (Asian bonytongue). RNAcentral's name for it is "mir-146 microRNA precursor family". It matches the Rfam family "mir-146 microRNA precursor family". The record is from Rfam by way of RNAcentral. Lineage: Eukaryota; Metazoa; Chordata; Actinopteri; Osteoglossiformes; Osteoglossidae.